Camelus dromedarius (Arabian camel) is the source of this 446-nucleotide long non-coding RNA. RefSeq lists it as uncharacterized. The record is from RefSeq and is a predicted model, not a curated record. The transcript is spliced from 3 exons. Lineage: Eukaryota; Metazoa; Chordata; Mammalia; Artiodactyla; Camelidae.
AAACAAGAAGUGCUCAGAUAAAGUCCGAAAGCUCAUAAGGCAAAAGCUGCAGAGCUAAAACCGGGUUUCUGAGAGAAUAAUGUACCCAUCAGCUCCUGAGGCGGCAGGAAGGCGGGGCGCUCAAGCGGCUCGAAGUGUUCUGCUGUUAGAAGACACAGAAAGGAGACGUACUCAAAGAGCCAUAACCAAAGAGAAAAGUGAGAGCCCUGAGUGCUCAUCAAGCCUUCUGUGCCAGCACUUCAGAAGGGCCUUGGUACCACUUGAAGGACUUCUCCAAGGACAGAGGAUUCUAUCUAUCAUAAAAAGCUGGGUGCCCCCAAAGGAGGAAAGAGUAAGUGUUCUUGAGAAGAUAUUUAUUUGAAUAUGUUUUGAGCAGGGAAUUAUACGAGAAAUCAUUUUACUAUUAAGAUUAAGUUCAUAUGAUAAAAAUAUUUAUAGAGCUUUUA